Python bivittatus (Burmese python) is the source of this 801-nucleotide long non-coding RNA. RefSeq lists it as uncharacterized. The record is from RefSeq and is a predicted model, not a curated record. NCBI's taxonomy places the organism in Eukaryota, Metazoa, Chordata, Lepidosauria, Squamata, Pythonidae.
GCAGCCUCAGUUGGAGUUAGGCUGAAAAACUAUAUGUGGUUUAAAGGGUUCCUCUCAAUUCAGCUGGGAUAAGUUCUGAAUAGACAUACUGUACAUAGUAUUUGCAAGAAGGAUCUUUUUGAUUUAUGACUCAAAUGAGUUAGAGUGCCAAGUCCUCUACCCAGGGGAUCCCAGGUUUCACUCCCUAAAGUCUACUGGGACAGGCAUUCCUUGUAAUAUAGGAGAGGAAGAAGGCUUCGAAAAUGGAUGAGCUCCUCCUGGUAUCUGCUUCCUUUCUCCCUGAUGAAAGGAACACAUUGGAUUAUUUCAAGAACAAGUAUUUGAAUAGUGAUCUGGAUACAAGGGAUUUUCCUUCCUGAUAUCUUGGAAGAUUCAUAGUACCCAACCUGGAACAGGUUUUCACUUUCACCUCCCCAGAGGUAUGUUGCUCUUUCCCCAAGAAGAUUUAAAAGAAGAAGAAGAGGCAUCCAGCAAACUCCUUUGAUAUUUAAUCUCAAGGAAAGAUAUUUGUCUGACUUUAGGCAGAGAGGAACAUUCCUCCAACUGUGAGUUUGUUGCUGAUCCAGUGGGAACCUCUAUGCUUAUAUUUCUUGGGGUGUCCUUUGUAUGUACACAGUCUGAGGAAAUGUCACCAGCUGAAGGAGACCUGAAAAUGAAUGUGUUAGGUGGCAAUUUGAAUUUGGGGCAGAAAAGAACUAUAGAAAUGAUUUCAUGUGGAUCAUGUAGUAAUCCCUAUACAUGUAGCUGACUUUGUUGGUGUAAAUGUCAUGCAAGUUAUAUUUGUGGAAACAACAAGUAUGU